This 395-nucleotide long non-coding RNA is filed under the name Androctonus crassicauda. Lineage: Eukaryota; Metazoa; Arthropoda; Arachnida; Scorpiones; Buthidae. The record is from RNAcentral.
UCGGGUUUGAUAGGGACAAUGUGCCGUACUGUGGUUCAUAGGUCGUAUUUCAUGUUUGGUGAUGGAGUCUGCGAGCGGAUCGGGGUGUGCCCGGUGGUGGCCCCUUAGUGGGAGUUUUGGCAGAGCUUGUCAUGCGCUGUGGGGAGACCUCCAUAUAGCACUGCCUGAUGAGCAACACUGUCCUCUGUGGGAGGUGCAUGGAUGACAUUCUCGUUGUUGUGGACGGUCCGGAUCGGCAUCUGGAUUUGGAAAACAUGCUCACGGACCGGUCCCUCGGUUUGGGGCUGAUUGGGCAGAGACGGAGUGUGGAAGAAGUGCAAUAUCUAGAUCUUGGAAUUAAAAUAAUGGGAGGCGAGUGCAGCCUCGACAUGUACUGCAGAGACACUUAUGUACCA